RNAcentral lists this ribosomal RNA (253 nucleotides) under uncultured bacterium. RNAcentral describes it as "partial 16S ribosomal RNA". It matches the Rfam family "Bacterial small subunit ribosomal RNA", at positions 524 to 776 of the family's 1533-position model. The record is from RNAcentral.
UACAGAGGUCUCAAGCGUUGUUCGGAUUCAUUGGGCGUAAAGGGUGCGUAGGCGGCGCGGUAAGUCGGGUGUGAAAUCCUGGAGCUCAACUCCAGAACUGCCUUUGAUACUGGCGAUCUUGAGUCCGGGAGAGGUGAGUGGAACUGCGAGUGUAGAGGUGAAAUUCGUAGAUAUUCGCAAGAACACCAGUGGCGAAGGCGGCUCACUGGCCCGGUACUGACGCUGAGGUGCGAAAGCGUGGGGAGCAAACAGG